Non-coding RNA from Vicia faba (fava bean), 372 nucleotides. Lineage: Eukaryota; Viridiplantae; Streptophyta; Magnoliopsida; Fabales; Fabaceae. The record is from the annotation of a GenBank genome assembly.
CUUCUUUGUUCCAAUUUUUUUCCAUCCCUUAUUUCGUUUUCUCCACAAAAACUGUUAUUUACAAAAACAAUUGUUUUCCCUUCUCACUGUUCCACUGCCAGUCUCCCCAUGUUCUACAACGGUUACAACCAUCAACGAUGGUUUGAGAAAAAAUUUAAUAUUUCUGUCCAAAUUCAAAGGUCUCUCUCGUCCUUUUCCCUUUGCUUCAACACUUCUCCAUUCGAUUCAGUUCAACCCCAGGUUAGGCCACCGAAUCACACACCUUAUUUCUUCUCCAUUUUGGUUGUGAAUCUACCGCCAAUCAUGGAUCAAGUUGAUUUCAACGCCCCCCUAUUCCAUGGGAACCACCAUCAUCAGUGUUACCUACAAUGA